This 1364-nucleotide ribosomal RNA is filed under the name Weissella koreensis. Its description in RNAcentral is "16S ribosomal RNA". It matches the Rfam family "Bacterial small subunit ribosomal RNA", at positions 91 to 1442 of the family's 1533-position model. Lineage: Bacteria; Bacillati; Bacillota; Bacilli; Lactobacillales; Lactobacillaceae. The record is from RNAcentral.
AUGAGUGGCGAACGGGUGAGUAACACGUGGGAAACCUACCUCUUAGCAGGGGAUAACAUUUGGAAACAAAUGCUAAUACCGUAUAAUAAUUAAAACCGCAUGGUUUUAGUUUAAAAGAUGGUCUUGCUAUCACUAAGAGAUGGUCCCGCGGUGUAUUAGUUAGUUGGUGAGGUAAUGGCUCACCAAGACAAUGAUACAUAGCCGAGUUGAGAGACUGACCGGCCACAAUGGGACUGAGACACGGCCCAUACUCCUACGGGAGGCAGCAGUAGGGAAUCUUCCACAAUGGACGAAAGUCUGAUGGAGCAACGCCGCGUGUGUGAUGAAGGGUUUCGGCUCGUAAAACACUGUUGUAAGAGAAGAAUGACAUUGAGAGUAACUGUUCAAUGUGUGACGGUAUCUUACCAGAAAGGAACGGCUAAAUACGUGCCAGCAGCCGCGGUAAUACGUAUGUUCCAAGCGUUAUCCGGAUUUAUUGGGCGUAAAGCGAGCGCAGACGGUUAUUUAAGUCUGAAGUGAAAGCCCUCGGCUCAACCGAGGAAUUGCUUUGGAAACUGGAUAACUUGAGUGCAGUAGAGGAAAGUGGAACUCCAUGUGUAGCGGUGAAAUGCGUAGAUAUAUGGAAGAACACCAGUGGCGAAGGCGGCUUUCUGGACUGUAACUGACGUUGAGGCUCGAAAGUGUGGGUAGCAAACAGGAUUAGAUACCCUGGUAGUCCACACUGUAAACGAUGAGUGCUAGUUGUUCGAGGGUUUCCGCCCUUGAGUGACGAAGCUAACGCAUUAAGCACUCCGCCUGGGGAGUACGACCGCAAGGUUGAAACUCAAAGGAAUUGACGGGGACCCGCACAAGCGGUGGAGCAUGUGGUUUAAUUCGAAGCAACGCGAAGAACCUUACCAGGUCUUGACAUCCUUUGACCACUCCAGAGAUGGAGCUUUCCCUUCGGGGACAAAGUGACAGGGUGGUGCAUGGUUGUCGUCAGCUCGUGUCGUGAGAUGUUGGGUUAAGUCCCGCAACGAGCGCAACCCUUAUUGUUAGUUGCCAGCAUUUAGUUGGGCACUCUAGCAAGACUGCCGGUGACAAACCGGAGGAAGGCGGGGAUGACGUCAAAUCAUCAUGCCCCUUAUGACCUGGGCUACACACGUGCUACAAUGGCAAGUACAACGAGUCGCCAACCCGCGAGGGUGCGCAAAUCUCUUAAAGCUUGUCUCAGUUCGGACUGUAGGCUGCAACUCGCCUACACGAAGUCGGAAUCGCUAGUAAUCGCGGAUCAGCACGCCGCGGUGAAUACGUUCCCGGGUCUUGUACACACCGCCCGUCACACCAUGAGAGUUUGUAACACCCAAAGUCGGUGAGGUAACCUU